RNAcentral lists this transfer RNA (76 nucleotides) under Culex quinquefasciatus (southern house mosquito). Its description in RNAcentral is "tRNA-Thr". Lineage: Eukaryota; Metazoa; Arthropoda; Insecta; Diptera; Culicidae. The record is from RNAcentral.
GGAGCAGCCAUGGCUGACUGGUUACGGUUUUCGCUUAGUGAGUGAAUGAUCCUGGGUUCGAUUCCCAUCUGCUCCC